Molecule: non-coding RNA, 29 nt
Filed under: Rattus norvegicus (Norway rat)
Lineage: Eukaryota; Metazoa; Chordata; Mammalia; Rodentia; Muridae
Source: RNAcentral
UGGGACCCACUUUCAAGAAAAAUAGAAAC